This 2676-nucleotide long non-coding RNA is filed under the name Gossypium barbadense (sea-island cotton). RNAcentral's name for it is "long non-coding RNA (GBAR_LNC002094)". The record is from RNAcentral. Lineage: Eukaryota; Viridiplantae; Streptophyta; Magnoliopsida; Malvales; Malvaceae.
UAAAAACUUAAUUCACAAAUAUCAUUUAACACUUAAUUUACAUGUAUUACUGGAACAGAUGUAUCGCUAAAACACUUUAACACCCCAAACAUGGUCUAGACGUUAUUGUAACACACUUCGCCCGUAUCCCUCGCCCGUAUCCCUCGCCAGAACAGGGUUCGAGGUGCUACCAGAUUUAAACUCAUCCAUUUAUAUAAAACCAGACCGUAAAAUUUUUUGAUCAAUUUUAAACUUUUCAUACACACGUAUAUUAUCCUUUAAUCGGGCUUACAAGGCCCAAAAUAUUCAUGAGGCAUUAUUAAAUAUUUACCAAUAUCUUAGUCUUGUAUCAUUUACUUACUCAACUUUACAACCCUAUACAUGCCAUAGACUCGAAACACUAAGAUUUACUUACGCCGAUAGCGUAGACUUGACAAUGUGAUAAUAUCUCUGACGGCCUCCAACCGGAGCUAACCUGGCAACCCUAGGGAAUAUGGGAAAGAAAAGGGGAGUAAGCUUUACGCUUAGUAAGUUCAUAAGAAAACAAUAAGCAACUCAUUAACAAGUUUUAUCAAUGUUUACAACAUAAUCACAAAUUCACUACAAGUUGUCUUCCUGAGCAAUAGUCACUAAAUUAUUUAUAACUAGAGCUACAAAACUCCAAAUCAAUUGCCAUUAAUUUUCCCUGAAAAUAGACUCACAUAUCUUCCAUCCAUAAAAUUUUCAGAAUUUUAGGUUUGGCCAAUCAAUACCAGAUUUUUCUUAAAGUUUCCCCUGUUUCACUGUUUGACUAAUCUGACCACUCUUCACUACGAAUCAAAUUUCUCAUUGUACAGAAUUCAAAAUAUGUUCUAUUUGAGUUCAUUUGAAACUAGACUCAUUAAGGAGUCUAAGCAUACAAAUUUUCUCUUAUAACCAUUUUUGUACAAAUUAUAAUGAUUUUCUAAAAACAGAACAGGGGACCCCGAAGUCAUUUGACUCUAUCCCACGCCACUUCAAAUAUCUCAUUAUCAGCAAUUCUUUUGCUUACACGGUUUCUUUAUAAGAAACUAGACUCAUUAAGAUUUAAUUACAUAAUUUAUUCAGUUUCUAACUCAACUCCAAUAAUUUAUGGUGAUUUUCCAAAAUCACGUUACUGCUGCUGUCCCAAGCAGAUUUAUUACAAAUUUACUCUUUCACACAUUCUUUGCAUUCACAUUAUUUAAACAUGUAUAUCACCACUCAAUUUCAUCACAUAUCUAUAAUUUCACUCAAGCAUAAUCUCAAUACAAUACAUCAUGGUCAAUGAUUCGCACACAACCGUUCAAAUUAGCAAUUAUAAGAUGAUUCCGCACAUAGUCCACCCUUAUCGAUAAUUUACGAUGGUUUUGCCCUUACUUACAUAUAUGACAUAGGCAUUUUCACCUAUGCUUCUCAUUUCACACUCAUGAUUCAAUUCCAAUCGAUCUAACAUGCAUAAGAAUAUAUCACAUACCUGGCCAACUUAAUGCAUUGAACAAAUUCAAUUGCCGAUUUAACACAAGGUCUCAUAGUCUUAGACUUUUAUCAAAUCACCGGCAUUUAGCCUGCUAGGUUUUAAACCCGAUAAUAUUAUUCACCAGCUUAAAGCUUGCUAGGCUCAAAGCCCAUAUAUCACCAUUAUAAAGUCGUCUCAUAAGCAAUUCAUAUAAUAUAGCAUGUAUACCUGUUCACUUUGCUCUAUUUAAUCAUUCAAUCACAAUUUAUAAUUUCCCUUUGAAUCAUUCGAUAUUUUGCACACUAAGUGUCAUUCUCAAUAUCUCGCACACUAAGUGCCAUUCUCAAUAUUUCGUACACUGAGUACCAUAUUGAUUGCCCCGCACACUAAGUGCCACAUUUUGUCGAUAUGUCGUCAGACAUUAAAAUAUUCACGUAUAUACAAUUUAUACAAUAUUAAAGCAUUAGAAACAUCAAUUUAACAAUGCUUAUUGCAUACGAACUUACCUGGCUAAAUUGUAGAGAUACCAAAGUUCAGGGGCAUUUUGGUAAUUUUAUCAUUUUUCUCGAUUUUCCACCCGAUCUUGAUCUAAAUUAAUAAUUUCAUUCAGUAUAUUAAUUUAGACAUUAAAACACCUCAUUUCAUACAAUUUGGUCAUUUUUUUCAUUUUUACAAAAUUACCCCUAAAGUUUUACUUUUAUUCAUUUUAGUCCCUGAGCUCAAAACAUGCAAAUUAACCAUUUUUAACCAUAAUUAAGCUUAGCCAAAUGUUCAUGGUAUCAAAACAGUCCAUAAUUCACUUUAUGGAAAAAUUAUAUUUUUGCCCCUAAUAUUUCAACUUCUUUACAAUUUAGUCCCUAUAUCAUAAAAAUGCAAAUUCAUGAAAUUGAGUAAAAUUCUACUAUAGACGAAUAUCACUAGUGUCUCUAGCAGCCCACACAUUUCAUUUAUUUGACAUUUUAACCACAAAAUUUUCACAUUUAUCAAUUUAGCCCUUAAUUGUCAAUUUCACAAAAAUUCACUUAACAAAAAGUGUUUAACUAUCAACAAGGACUCAUAUUCUUCCAUUAAACUUCAAAGCCCUAUUAUACUCAUCAAUGGAAAAUAUCAAACUAUUCAAUGGUUUUGCAAAAUAGUCCCCUCAUUAGAUAGAUUAAGCAACAAUGAUCCCGAAAAUAUAAAAAUAAUUAAAAACGGGACUAGAAAUGCCUACCAUGCAUUAGCUGAAAGUUGGAAGCUUC